ACAUGUCUGCAGCAUAGCGUUAAUGCACUGGAUCCUAUUAGAACUCCACAGUUAAGUGCACUCAUGCUAGAGUAGUACUGGGAUGGGUGACCACUCGGGAAGUCCUAGUGUUUUACAUGCC
Non-coding RNA from Picea glauca (white spruce), 121 nucleotides. The record is from Rfam. Lineage: Eukaryota; Viridiplantae; Streptophyta; Pinopsida; Pinales; Pinaceae.